UGCGUAGGCGGGUCUUUAAGUCAGGGGUGAAAUCCUGGAGCUCAACUCCAGAACUGCCUUUGAUACUGAGGAUCUUGAGUACGGGAGAGGUGAGUGGAACUGCGAGUGUAGAGGUGAAAUUCGUAGAUAUUCGCAAGAACACCAGUGGCGAAGGCGGCUCACUGGCCCGUAACUGACGCUGAGGCACGAAAGCGUGGGGGAGCAAACA
Molecule: ribosomal RNA, 208 nt
Filed under: uncultured bacterium
Lineage: Bacteria
Description: partial 16S ribosomal RNA
Rfam family: Bacterial small subunit ribosomal RNA
Source: RNAcentral